Molecule: RNA transcript, 935 nt
Organism: Dermacentor silvarum
Lineage: Eukaryota; Metazoa; Arthropoda; Arachnida; Ixodida; Ixodidae
Exons: 3
Source: RefSeq, a predicted model, not a curated record
UAGCUCUUCUUGUGGUGUUGUGAAGCGACAGCUCGUGUUUUGUGUAGUCCCAUGUGAUGUUCGUUCUUGUUAACGAAACAUGACGGGCUGUUGUGUCGCUCUGUGCACUGGAUCGACCGCAAAAGAGCCGCGGGUAUUUUGUCACCCCCGCGACGUUGACCGAAUGAAGAAAUGGGCAGCGGAAGUAAAGCGUGACAACUGAGUACCGGCGGAUACAACGAAGGCACCCAAAACUGGCGCCAAUGGCAAAGAAAAUAGCGGUGGAAUAAAAAUCGCUUCAUGGACUGCUCCAUGGACGUGGACUGCUCCUGUCAGACUGCGCCGACCUCUCGGACAAGCAGCUCACCGCUAGAACUGCAACCGACCACAAGUGGGUAAUGUCACCAUGCACGAGAGGAUCCACACGGGCAAGCGGCCGUUCGUGUGCCACGUCUGCGACAGGGGCUUCCACCAGCGAGGGCAUCUCAACAGCCACAUGCUGGUCCACUUGGGGGAGAGGCCGCACAAGUGGCCAGACUGCGGCCAGCGCUUUAUCCGCGCGUCACACAUGGCGCUUCACCAGAAGCUGCAGCACUCGGCCGAAAGCGCUCGACAUCACGUAUACCCUGAGUGCGGAAAAGGCUUCACACGGAGACAUCUCAUCACUCACCAGCUGACCCACAUGGGUACGAAGCCGAACGCCUGCUCUUAGUGCGGAAUGAGGUUUGCACUGAGCAGUGAUGCCACGAGGCACAAACAGGUCGUUCACAGCUGCCAGUACCCGCUACACUGCCCACACUGCGGCAAGGGGUGUGGGAACAUGAACGUGCUUAGAGGCCACGUACGCGUUCAUCACAAUGACGAAUACGAUGACAACAAAGAGAAGCACGACGAUCAGUAAAGACAAAUGUACCCGGGGAAGAAAACCUGGAUGAUGCGAGACUUCAAUUGGGUAA